UCAUCCAGCAGAAGUUGGGUUCUCAAAGACUAAAGCCUGCAGUGAUCAAGAGCUUGAGGACUCUGCAGUCCAAGCCAGAGAGGAUGUUUGUGAUCAUGACUGGAGAGUUGGAAAAUGAAUGCAAGUUGGCGUUUGUUUCUCCUUGCAGCAUGGCAGAAGCUGAAAGGAACCUCUGGCCAUCAUCUGGUCCCACCCACCCUUGAUCAAGCUGGACCACCAUGAGCUGCGUAUCCAGGACUGUGCUCAGAAGUUUGAGUACCUCCAACACUGGAGACUCCACAGCCUCUCCAGGCAACCUAUGCCAGUGCUCAAACCAGCUUGACGUAAAGAAAGUGUUCCCUGCUUUUCAGAGGGAGCCUCCUGUGCUUCAGUGUGUGCCCACUGCUCCAGUGCUGCCACCAGGCACCACUGGAAAGAGCCUGGCUCCAUCCUCUUUGCAUCCUGCCCGCUGGAUGUUUAUCUACAUUGAUGAGAUCCUGCCUGAGCCUUCCCUUCUCUGCGUUGUCCUUCCAGGAGAUGUCAGGGUGGUUGAAGUCUCCGAUGAGGACCAGAGCCUGGGACUCAAAAUCUGAGUUUAGACACAGGAGGGAUGAGGAGGACCAGAAUUUUAUCACCAUCUUCUCAUUUUGCAUCACACUUCAGUAUCUUCACCCAUCAAACCACUUUUCAUUCUACAACAACAUGCUUCUUUAUCAAAGUCUUCAGUAUGGAUUCUGAACAUAUUUCAUGAAAUGUGCUGAGUAAAGUUCAGCUUUGCUCCAGAGAGACACUGCUUUGCUGCAGAGAGUCAAGGAUAGUACAAAAACAGUGGAUCUUUUCCCCCUUUUUGCACCAAUCAUUUUGGAAUUGUUACCAUUGGAAGCUUUCAAUUUAAAUCUUUAUAUUUAAGAAUGAGAGCAUUCACAAACACACAGGGAAGAGCUUGUGUUUUUUGUACAACUUAUAAAGAAAUGGAAAGUAACAACCACAAGUCUUUAAAGGAAGAGGAUGGAUGGAAUGGAUGGAUGAAUGGAUGGAUGGCCAAAUAAAAAGGGAAAGGAACAAUCAGUACUUGAA
Long non-coding RNA from Vidua macroura (Pin-tailed whydah), 1056 nucleotides. RefSeq lists it as uncharacterized. The transcript is spliced from 3 exons. Lineage: Eukaryota; Metazoa; Chordata; Aves; Passeriformes; Viduidae. The record is from RefSeq and is a predicted model, not a curated record.